ACCUGCACUCAUGGCAUAUGGACGUUCCCAGGCCAGGGAUCAAAUCCGAGCCACAGCUGCAACCUAGGUGACACUGGAUCCUUAACCCACUGCAUCACAGUUUUUGAGCACCUGGCAUGUGUGAUAUGAUCUCAUCCAAUUAUCUCUACUUGUUCAAAAAAAUUGCACCUUUUAAGAUCUUUACCUAGAACCUAACACAUUCCUCCAUAAUGAUAUUUAAUUACUUCAACCUGAUCCAGAAAGAGCAAUCCCACAUAGUUCAAACUAAGACCACCAGGGGCUGGCCAAGGAAUGAAGUGCCACUUGCACUAUCGCUUCGAGUAGAAAAUGCAUCUGUGGUGGUUCUAGAAACAUGCCCCCAUUCCACGAAAGUAUUUCCCUCUGAGGCUGCCAAAAAGCCACGGUCCAGUGACUGGGCAUACCACCCCACCUGGGCACACAGGAACCACUUCUGACAACGAACCACAGACCUGGCACUUGUGUAGGGGAGGCACCAGCCCCAGAGGCCGCCCAAGGAGCCCAGAGAGGCCUCCAUCCCUCCCAUCUCUGCUGCCUACCCUACCCUGCAACUGACCUCUCAGUGCGGCCAGGUCGCCUGAACCCCUGCUCUUAAUGGUACCGUGACAGGACUCCUCGAGAAUCCUUCAUAAACUCUCUCAAGCACUGCUCUUGGCGCCUCAUCACAAUACAAUCUAACAAAACAAUAUCACAGCAUUUGGGGAAGAGAGAAGCUACCAAAUUUCACCACAAAGCCUCCCUCCCCCCUGUUCCCCAGGAAACCUAGUUUGCCAGAAGAGGCAUCCUUUGCUCCCGUUUUCAUAAGGAUGCUUGGUUUACCUUUACAGUCUAAUCCCACCCAGGCCCAUGGGGGGCUUUCCUUCUCUGUACCAAUUCUCCCACAGGACCCCUGGGGUGGGCCAUCUAGGAGCCCCUCCAAGAUGUCCAUGUUCUCACACCUGGAACCUGUGACUGUACUACCCUGCAUGGCAAAGGUGACUUUUCAGACGGGAUCCGGAUUCUCCUGGAUGGCUCAGGGGGCCCUGAUGCAGCAACAGAGGUCCUUAUAACAAGGAUACAGGAGAAUUUAAAGAGUCAGAAGUAGACGUGAGGAAAGGGUCUCGAGCCAAGCACAGGGGCAGGCUCCAGAAUCUAGAAAAGGCAACGAAACAGAUGCUCUACUCAGGGCCUCCAGAGGGAACCAGCCUUGCCAAUACCUUGACCUUAGCCCAGCGAAACUGAUUUUGGCCUUCAAGACUCUAGAACAGUGAGAAGAUUGAUUUAUGUUAUUUUAAGCCACAAGGUUUGUGGUCAUUUCUAACAGCAUCUCUUCCGGAGAAAGGGGACUGUGAUGAUGAUAAACACACAGAACCAGAAAUACCCUUGAACUUCAGGCAUGAGUCGUCCUCAUUGGGAUCCACACAGCCUUUCUCUCUGGACUCUAGGAGCCCGCUGAAUCCUCUGCUCUCGCACACCAAAAUUGAGAACCCAAGACCCGUGAUGCCAUAAGCAAGGGUUAUGACUUGUGAGUACUGCUCAGUAGAGCAUCUUAGCACCUAGAUGGAAAAAACAACUCCCAUCCUAGCCUGCUGCCUUUGUGAUUCAUAAACCAGGGAAACGACAGAAAAACAGUAAAGAAUGUGUACAGCACUUUGAUUUUAUCCAACAGAAGAUACUGGGCAAAACAAAACACAAAACCUACAAGGAAGCGCCUCCAGAUCCACAAUUCCUUUUACCACACGGACAGGAGCUGGGCCAAGCCAACUUCGCUCCAUGGAUCCCACAGGUGGGCCAGCCUGCAGUCUCGCCUCGCUGCCGGGCAGCCAGCCUGAGCCCUGGAAAGCCAGAGCCUGUGCCCACGGGGCUCCUCAAGACAACGAGAGGAGGAAGGCUCUGGAAGGUGGUGGCAUCCUGCCCACCUCGGAGGUAGCCUGGGGCCUCUGGAUCACGCCAUCUCGCCAGCACCUGAGAGGUGUGGGCCAGGCAGCCAACCACAUCAGAAGCUGGCUGCCAGCCGGCCCCAGUUGCCCAACACCUCCGCAGGAGCCAGCUUUCCAGGAGUGGGUUUUACCCGCCACACAGGUACCAGCCGCUGCUGACCAAAGCGGGGCACGGCGCCUUGAAGAAUGUCCCACACGAUGGCCAGCCCGACGGGGGUCAAGGAGGCUGUCCGGCUACAGAGCAAUGCAAUGCACCUGCGCUCCACACUGGCCUCUGCAAAGCACGUUCUCUGCGCGGAUUACGCAAAGCAGGAUCCCACCAGGCUCUUCCUAGGACUCCAGCCGACCUCGGCUUUCCUCCAAGCCCAUGUCAGACCUCCCACCCCUCCCUACCUAUCCACCCCUUAAUCCUCCCAACCCUACAAGUCACUGGUUUACACGCUCCCAGUGUAGCCCGUUUCCGUUAUGUUUAACAAGUAACGUCGUGAAGGGCGUGUCAGGAUGUUCAGGGUCAGGGUACCUAGGCUUCCUCCGUGGGAGUUAAACCUGUGACUUCAGGGCACGUGUACAAGGUGGCACUUUAAGCCGGGUAAAGUAGUCAAAGGAAAAAAAAGAAAAGAAAGUUAACCAACCUUCCACAAAGGGCUCUCAUUCCGCCUCUGCUUAAUAAAGAUGCAACUCGGAAUAUUCCAAGUCCAAGAGAAGGUGGAUUUUGGCAAAAGCGGCAUCUAAUUUGCCCAAGAUUCAAAGUCUUUGAGCCACUUGACCAGUUUUCUCUCUGCCGACUACUUCUUCUGAUGUGCCCCCCCCCAAAAUAAACCAGGCCCAGAAAUAGAAUCCCAUCUCCCUUGGCUCUUAUGACUAAUGUAUGGCCUUCUUUUAAAGCCCUCACACCACAGCUCUGACUCCAGUAAUUUCCUCUUCUUCUCUACGAACGUCCAUUUACAGCCUUUCUGUAACCUCUACGUGAACCAAGAAUGUUCUCUGUCCCUCCCACGGAUGUGGGAUCACGCCCUGGUGAGAGCGGGGUGGCGCUGGACGGAAUCUCUCACUGCAGUGUGAGCUCACUCGGGACCCUACCCAAGCCCAGCUCCCGGAGAAGGGGAGGAGGUCUUUUGCUUUAAGGAGCUUUUACAAAAGACAAAACAAUUCCAAGGGCUGGGUGGGCAACCAGUAAAACUCAAGACAUGGCUCGGGGGUUCCUUAUGCACUUGGAUGAAGGGGCAUAGCGGCAUCUUUAUUUCAUUUUUAUCUGGGGAGGAGGGUUUGGGAAGGUGUCCCAGAAAAUAGCGUCCGUCCG
This 3237-nucleotide long non-coding RNA is filed under the name Sus scrofa (pig). RNAcentral describes it as "lncRNA (ENSSSCG00015032775.1)". Lineage: Eukaryota; Metazoa; Chordata; Mammalia; Artiodactyla; Suidae. The record is from RNAcentral.